AACGGUCUAUACCUGCGGUACCUGCGGAGGGAUCAUUAUCAAUUUACAGCGGACUUCGGUCCUGUCUGCACCCUUGUCUUUUGCGUACUAUAUGUUUCCUCGGUGGGCUUGCCUGCCGAUAGGACACUUAUAAACUCUUUUGUAAUUGCAAUCAGCGUCAGAAAACUACAAUAGUUACAACUUUCAACAACGGAUCUCU
This 199-nucleotide unclassified non-coding RNA is filed under the name soil metagenome. Its description in RNAcentral is "partial contains 5.8S ribosomal RNA, internal transcribed spacer 2, and large subunit ribosomal RNA". The record is from RNAcentral.